UCGGAAUGUCGCGUAGUUUGGUCUAUCGUAUCUGUUUUGGGUACAGAUUUUCGUAGGUUCAAAUCCUACUAUUCCGAA
Molecule: transfer RNA, 78 nt
Filed under: Guillardia theta
Lineage: Eukaryota; Cryptophyceae; Pyrenomonadales; Geminigeraceae
Description: tRNA-Pro
Rfam family: tRNA
About the family: Transfer RNA (tRNA) molecules are approximately 80 nucleotides in length. Their secondary structure includes four short double-helical elements and three loops (D, anti-codon, and T loops).
Source: RNAcentral